AUUCUGGUCUUUGGGGAUUUUGGAUUCUUCGAACUGGCUGCCAUUCACCUAUACAUAUGGAGUCAUACAUACAGGAAAUGAUGCUCUUCGCAUUAUAUUACAAGAAAUGAAAUCUUGGGUCUUUCAAACAUUUCCACAACUGAAAAAAAAACCAGUGGUAACAGGAGGCAAAUUACCCCUUGGGACAAAAUUUAAAAGACCCUUAGAAAUGCAAAAUUUUAUCAUAUGCUUUAGUUAUAAAUAAUAAAAAUC
This 252-nucleotide long non-coding RNA is filed under the name Mytilus galloprovincialis (Mediterranean mussel). Lineage: Eukaryota; Metazoa; Mollusca; Bivalvia; Mytilida; Mytilidae. The record is from RNAcentral.